RNAcentral lists this small nuclear RNA (336 nucleotides) under Erinaceus europaeus (western European hedgehog). Its description in RNAcentral is "7SK RNA". It matches the Rfam family "7SK RNA". From Rfam's summary of the family: 7SK was discovered as an abundant small nuclear RNA in the mid-70s but a possible function has only recently been suggested. Two independent studies have found that 7SK RNA binds the CDK9/cyclin T complex (known as elongation factor P-TEFb). P-TEFb activates transcription by phosphorylating the C-terminal domain of RNA polymerase II. The record is from Rfam by way of RNAcentral. Lineage: Eukaryota; Metazoa; Chordata; Mammalia; Eulipotyphla; Erinaceidae.
GGAUGUGAGGGUGAUCUGGCAGAGACAUCUGUCACCCCAUUGAUCUCCAGGGUUGAUUCGGCUGAUCUGGCUGGCUAGGCGGGUGUCCCCUUCCUCCCUCACCGCUCCAUGUGUGUUUUUCACCCCUGAAAUUCAUCCUCUAAUUUUGACUUCUUAUUUCAUUGUCAAAUGUCACUUUCCAUUUAGAAACUUGCUCCCUACCAGGCUGAAUCCUGAGUUCUGAAUCUGUGCUAGUUAAUAUUAAGUUAAUAUUAGUUAAUUAAUUAGUUAAUAUUAGUUAAUAUUAAGGUCCAAAUGUGCUCCCCAUAGUCCUUUCUACUUGAAUUGGUCUGUACG